Molecule: long non-coding RNA, 1208 nt
Organism: Bos taurus (domestic cattle)
Lineage: Eukaryota; Metazoa; Chordata; Mammalia; Artiodactyla; Bovidae
Source: Ensembl
CAUGUAACCAGUGGCUACUGUUGAACUUGUCUAAGACCAUAUAUCCAUUUGUUCAUUCAGUAAAUAUUUAUUGAGUGCUAUCCAUGUAUAAGGCACAGUUUUAAGUCCUGGGUAUACUGUGGUGAAUAAGAGGCAAAAUGUCCUUGGCUUUACGGAGCUUGCAUUUUACAUGAUAGUUUGAGGGAUGCUUUCUGUGGUACCUUCACUGCUUUGCUAAUUCGAUGUGGUUUGUGAUCCAGCAGCAUCUCUGUCCUCUGAGAGUUUGGAAGAAAUGCCGAAUCUCAGGUCACAAACCACGUCAGCUGAAUGAGUUUGUUAAAGUGAUUUAGCAGGUCACAGGUGAUACAGAUAUCAGAUCUCAAGUGAUUUGAUUUCACAUUGAAGGCCUUAUUCAGAACACCAGUGAUAACUGGGUUUAGCAAAUGUCCUGAUGGAUUGUUCGGUAGGACUCUGAAGCCAACUUUGAAAGGCCUGGAAAUACUCAUCAUUUACGCAGAUACUUGUUAAAUGCCUGGCUUCUGCAGUAGAGAGUCAGCUUGUAUGGGAGCAGAGAGGGUGUCUUCCGUUUCUGUGUCUUUUCCAGCCGUGUAUUCCCAAAAACUUUACAGUGCCUGGUAAACAGUAGACACUCAAUAAAUGCUUGUUGUGUAUAUUAAUGAGCCUAUUCUGAAGUCAAAACUAGUUAAUUCCAAGCAGUUUCAGGCCAAGUAAUUUUCAGGGCAUCAGGUCGGGGCAUAGACGGCUCUUGGUGGACGUGGCAGCUCCAUGGGACUCUGGGACCUUGGUGGCUCCAGCUCUCUUCUCUGCCUUCCCGGGGUCGAGUCUUCAUCCUCGUGGCCUGAGCUGUCACAUUCACAUUCCACAAAGCAGGAUGGAGGAAGAACAGAAGAGGAUGCACGUUGUCGUUGUCAGUUGCUAAGUUGUGUCCGACCCCAUGGACUGCAGCACGCCAGGCUUCCCUGUCCUUCUUCAUCUCCCAGAGUUUGCUCAGACUCAUGUCCAUUGAAUCGGUGAUGCCGUCUAACCAUCUCAUCCUUUGUCACCCCCUUCUCCUGCCCUCAGCUCCAGUCCUUUUUGGACACCUCAGGAAAGGUACACAAGACUUCUCAUAUCAGCUAGAACUUCACUGCAGGGAGACUGGGAAAUGUACCCAUACUCUAGCUGUCUCAUGUGCCUUGCAAAAAUUGGGGGUUCUGUAACUGCAGAAG